CAGUGGGGAUAUUGCACAAUGGGCGCAAGCCUGAUGCAGCCAUGCCGCGUGUGUGAAGAAGGCCUUCGGGUUGUAAAGCACUUUCAGUCAGGAGGAAAGGUUAGUAGUUAAUACCUGCUAGCUGUGACGUUACUGACAGAAGAAGCACCGGCUAACUCCGUGCCAGCAGCCGCGGUAAUACGGAGGGUGCGAGCGUUAAUCGGAAUUACUGGGCGUAAAGCGUACGCAGGCGGUUUGUUAAGCGAGAUGUGAAAGCCCCGGGCUCAACCUGGGAACUGCAUUUCGAACUGGCAAACUAGAGUGUGAUAGAGGGUGGUAGAAUUUCAGGUGUAGCGGUGAAAUGCGUAGAGAUCUGAAGGAAUACCGAUGGCGAAGGCAGCCACCUGGGUCAACACUGACGCUCAUGUACGAAAGCGUGGGGAGCAAACGGGAUUAGAUACCCCGGUAGUCCACGCCGUAAACGAUGUCUACUAGAAGCUCGGGUCCUCGGUUCUGUUUUUCAAAGCUAACGCAUUAAGUAGACCGCCUGGGGAGUACGGCCGCAAGGUUAAAACUCAAAUGAAUUGACGGGGCCCC
RNAcentral lists this ribosomal RNA (576 nucleotides) under Pseudoalteromonas sp. Its description in RNAcentral is "bacterial SSU rRNA". It matches the Rfam family "Bacterial small subunit ribosomal RNA", at positions 352 to 922 of the family's 1533-position model. The record is from RNAcentral. Lineage: Bacteria; Pseudomonadati; Pseudomonadota; Gammaproteobacteria; Alteromonadales; Pseudoalteromonadaceae.